UUUUGACAUUAGACUCGGACUUCUCUUGAACUGAAUUUUAAUGUGCGUAUUGUUAUUGUUUUACUUUUCUACAUUGGCUAGAGGUAUAGGGGGAGGGUUGAGAUCUCAUAAACAUGUUUAACCCCGCCGCAAUUUUGUGCCUGUCCCAAGUCAGGAGCCUCUGGCCUUUGUUAGUCUUGUAUUAUUUUAAAUUUUAGUUUCUUGUGUAUAAUUCGGAGUUUAGUAUGACGUCCAUUAUCACUGUACUAUUAUGCAUAUUUUAGGGGCCAGCUGAAGGACACCUACGGGUGCGGGAAUUCUCGCUACAUUGAAGACCCAUUGGUUGCCUUCGGCUGUUGUUUGCUCUAUGGUCGGGUGGUUGUCGCUUUGACAUAUUCACCAUUUCCUUUCUCAAUUUUA
This 399-nucleotide long non-coding RNA is filed under the name Mytilus galloprovincialis (Mediterranean mussel). The record is from RNAcentral. Lineage: Eukaryota; Metazoa; Mollusca; Bivalvia; Mytilida; Mytilidae.